RNAcentral lists this non-coding RNA (489 nucleotides) under Solanum lycopersicum (tomato). The record is from RNAcentral. Lineage: Eukaryota; Viridiplantae; Streptophyta; Magnoliopsida; Solanales; Solanaceae.
AUAUAAACUUAGGUCUCUUCUUCUUCUUCUUCAACAAUAUUAGGGUUUUGUCAUAUUGAUAGCGUAGACUACUAUCAGUUGAAGCUGCCAGCAUGAUCUAAACUUACCUAUAAAUUUAUAUUAAGGCAAGAUCAGAUCAUGUGGUUGCUUCACCUGUUAGUUCGUACUACGAAAAAUAAUCUUAACCCUACUUCGUGGAGAAAGAAACUAAAUUUAAGGGGUCUGAAGAUGGAUUAAAGCUAGCAUAGCUAAAGGGUGUCAUGUAGACAAUCUAUGAAAAUGAGGAUUUGGAGAAAGAGCUAACACGCCUAUGUCAAUGCAAGUAUUAGUGGGUAAUAAUUAUUUUCACGAUUCAAAUUUAUGACUUGAUAUAUAUUAGUAGGUAAUAGUUAUUUUCACGAUUUGAAUUCGUGACCUAAGUAGAGAGACAACGUCCAAAGUUCCUCUUCAUGGUUUUUCUCAAACUAUGAAAUGAAAUCAUUUUAUUCU